GAUGAACGCUGGCGGCGUGCCUAAUGCAUGCAAGUCGAACGGUAACAGGUCUUCGGAUGCUGACGAGUGGCGAACGGGUGAGUAAUACAUCGGAACGUGCCUAGUAGUGGGGGAUAACUACUCGAAAGAGUGGCUAAUACCGCAUGAGAUCUACGGAUGAAAGCAGGGGAUCGCAAGACCUUGUGCUACUAGAGCGGCCGAUGGCAGAUUAGGUAGUUGGUGGGAUAAAAGCUUACCAAGCCGACGAUCUGUAGCUGGUCUGAGAGGACGAUCAGCCACACUGGGACUGGGACACGGCCCAGACUCCUACGGGAGGCAGCAGUGGGGAAUUUUGGACAAUGGGCGCAAGCCUGAUCCAGCAAUGCCGCGUGCAGGAUGAAGGCCUUCGGGUUGUAAACUGCUUUUGUACGGAACGAAAAGCCCUGGGUUAAUACCCUGGGGUCAUGACGGUACCGUAAGAAUAAGCACCGGCUAACUACGUGCCAGCCGCCGCGGUAA
RNAcentral lists this ribosomal RNA (498 nucleotides) under uncultured bacterium. Its description in RNAcentral is "partial 16S ribosomal RNA". It matches the Rfam family "Bacterial small subunit ribosomal RNA", at positions 28 to 523 of the family's 1533-position model. The record is from RNAcentral.